CUAGGGAGGCAGCAGUGGGGAAUAUUGGACAAUGGGCGAAAGCCUGAUCCAGCCAUGCCGCGUGUGUGAAGAAGGCCUUCGGGUUGUAAAGCACUUUCAGUGGGGAAGAAAGCCUUGGGGCUAAUACCCUCGAGGAAGGACAUCACCCACAGAAGAAGCACCGGCUAACUCCGUGCCAGCAGCCGCGGUAAUACGGAGGGUGCGAGCGUUAAUCGGAAUUACUGGGCGUAAAGCGCGCGUAGGCGGUCUGAUAAGCCGGUUGUGAAAGCCCCGGGCUCAACCUGGGAACGGCAUCCGGAACUGUCAGGCUAGAGUGCAGGAGAGGAAGGUAGAAUUCCCGGUGUAGCGGUGAAAUGCGUAGAGAUCGGGAGGAAUACCAGUGGCGAAGGCGGUCUUCUGGACUGACACUGACGCUGAGGUGCGAAAGCGUGGGUAGCAAACAGGAUUAGAUACCCUUGUAGUC
This 463-nucleotide ribosomal RNA is filed under the name Vreelandella stevensii. RNAcentral describes it as "partial 16S ribosomal RNA". It matches the Rfam family "Bacterial small subunit ribosomal RNA", at positions 339 to 795 of the family's 1533-position model. Lineage: Bacteria; Pseudomonadati; Pseudomonadota; Gammaproteobacteria; Oceanospirillales; Halomonadaceae. The record is from RNAcentral.